UACGUAGGGUGCAAGCGUUGUCCGGAAUUAUUGGGCGUAAAGAGCUCGUAGGCGGCUUGUCGCGUCUGCCGUGAAAGCCCGUGGCUUAACUACGGGUCUGCGGUGGAUACGGGCAGGCUAGAGGCUGGUAGGGGCAAGCGGAAUUCCUGGUGUAGCGGUGAAAUGCGCAGAUAUCAGGAGGAACACCGGUGGCGAAGGCGGUUCUCUGGGCAUUACCUGACGCUGAGGAGCGAAAGUGUGGGGAGCGAACAGG
RNAcentral lists this ribosomal RNA (253 nucleotides) under uncultured bacterium. Its description in RNAcentral is "partial 16S ribosomal RNA". It matches the Rfam family "Bacterial small subunit ribosomal RNA", at positions 524 to 776 of the family's 1533-position model. The record is from RNAcentral.